AAAAGGAAUUGASGGGGACCCGCACAAGCGGGGGAGCAUGUGGUUUAAUUCRAARCAMCGCGAAAAACCUUACCAAAUCGUGACAUCCUUUGACCCSUCUAAAAAUAGAGSUUUUCCCUUCGGGGGACAGAGUGACAGGUGGUGCAUGGUUGUCGUCAGCUCGUGUCGUGAGAUGUUGGGUUAAGUCCCGCAACGAGCGCAACCCUURAGCUUAGUUGCCAUCAUUAAGUUGGGCACUCUAAGGWGACUGCCGGUGACAAACCGGAGGAAGGGGGGGAUGACGUCAAAUCAUCAUGCCCCUUAUGAGUUGGGCUACACACGUGCUACAAUGGACGGUACAAAGGGCAGCRAAGCCGCGAGGUCAAWCAAAUUCUACAAARCCGUUCUCAGUUCGGAUUGCAGUCUGCAACUCGMSUGCAUGAAGUSGGAAUCGCUAGUAAUCGUAGAUCAGCAUGCYMCGGUGAAUACGUUCCCGGGUCUUGUACACACCGCCCGUCACACCACGAGAGUUUGU
This 514-nucleotide ribosomal RNA is filed under the name Staphylococcus epidermidis. RNAcentral's name for it is "partial 16S ribosomal RNA". RNAcentral also lists the same sequence under 1 other name. Lineage: Bacteria; Bacillati; Bacillota; Bacilli; Caryophanales; Staphylococcaceae. The record is from RNAcentral.